Molecule: transfer RNA, 69 nt
Filed under: Streptomyces sp. MJM1172
Lineage: Bacteria; Bacillati; Actinomycetota; Actinomycetes; Kitasatosporales; Streptomycetaceae
Description: tRNA-Ala
Rfam family: tRNA
About the family: Transfer RNA (tRNA) molecules are approximately 80 nucleotides in length. Their secondary structure includes four short double-helical elements and three loops (D, anti-codon, and T loops). Further hydrogen bonds mediate the characteristic L-shaped molecular structure. tRNAs have two regions of fundamental functional importance: the anti-codon, which is responsible for specific mRNA codon recognition, and the 3' end, to which the tRNAs corresponding amino acid is attached (by aminoacyl-tRNA synthetases). tRNAs cope with the degeneracy of the genetic code in two manners: having more than one tRNA (with a specific anti-codon) for a particular amino acid; and 'wobble' base-pairing, i.e. permitting non-standard base-pairing at the 3rd anti-codon position.
Source: RNAcentral
GGCCCCGUGAUGUAACGGUAGCAUUCCACCCUUGCAUGGUGGCUGAGCGGUUCGAAUCCGACGGGGUCC